UGAGAAUGCCGGAAUGAGUAGCGAGAAUUAUGUGAGAAUCAUAAUGGCCGAAAGACUAAGGUUUUAGAAGGAAGGUUCGUCCGCUUCUAGUUAGCCGGGAGCUAAGGCGAGGCCGAAAGGCGUAGUCGAUGCACAUACGGUUGAGAUUCCGUAGCCACCUUAAAUUUAAACUAAGGGACACAUUGAAAGGGAAUAACCCAGGCGUUGGUUGACCUGGGCGUAAGGGAACGAAAAUAAGUAGUGAAGUAUUCUUGGACAGUGGCGAGAAAAGCUUAGUGUAUAUUAUUAGGGUGCCCGUACUGCAAACCGACACAGGUAGUCAGGAAGAGAAUUCUAAGGCCAUCGGGAGAAGCGUUGUUAAGGAACUCGGCAAAUUGACCCCGUAACUUCGGAAUAAGGGGUGCUCACGCGAGUGAGCCGCAGUGAAUAGGUCCAGGCAACUGUUUAUCAAAAACACAGCUCUCUGCUAAAUCGUAAGAUGACGUAUAGGGGGUGACACCUGCCCGGUGCUGGAAGGUUAAGAGGAGGAGUGCAAGCCCCGAAUCGAAGCCCCAGUAAACGGCGGCCGUAACUAUAACGGUCCUAAGGUAGCGAAAUUCCUUGUCGGGUAAGUUCCGACCCGCACGAAUGGUGUAAUGAUCUGGACACUGUCUCAACAACGCACCCGGCGAAAUUGUAGUACCGGUGAAGAUGCCGGUUACCCGCGGCAAGACGGAAAGACCCCAUGGAGCUUUACUGUAACUUAAUAUUGGGUCUCGGUACUUUAUGUACAGGAUAGGCGGGAGACUUGGAAACUAGCACGCCAGUGUUAGCGGAGUCAUCCUUGGGAUACCGCUCUUAAGGUAUUGAGAUUCUAACCUGCAGCCUUGAAUCAGGUUGGGGGACAUUGUUAGGUGGGCAGUUUGACUGGGGCGGUCGCCUCCAAAAGAGUAACGGAGGCGUUCAAAGGUUGGCUCAGCAUGGACGGAAACCAUGCUUUAGAGUAUAAACGCAUAAGCCAGCCUAACUGCGAGACUGACGGGUCGAGCAGUAACGAAAGUUGGAGUUAGUGAUC
RNAcentral lists this ribosomal RNA (1054 nucleotides) under human gut metagenome. RNAcentral's name for it is "bacterial LSU rRNA". It matches the Rfam family "Bacterial large subunit ribosomal RNA", at positions 1289 to 2420 of the family's 2925-position model. The record is from RNAcentral.